CGUAGGGAGCAAGCGUUGUCCGGAUUUAUUGGGCGUAAAGAGCUCGUAGGCGGCUUAGAAAGUCGGGUGUGAAACCUCCAGGCUCAACCUGGAGACGCCACUCGAUACUUCUAUGGCUUGAGUUCGGUAGGGGUAAGCGGAAUUCCUGGUGUAGCGGUGAAAUGCGCAGAUAUCAGGAGGAACACCGAUGGCGAAGGCAGCUUACUGGGCCGAUACUGACGCUGAGGAGCGAAAGCGUGGGGAGCGAACAGGAUUAGAUACCCUGGUAGUCCACGCCGUAAACGUUGGGCACUAGGUGUGGGAGGUAAUCAACGCCUUCCGUGCCGUAGCCAACGCAUUAAGUGCCCCGCCUGGGGAGUACGGUCGCAAGACUA
This 374-nucleotide ribosomal RNA is filed under the name uncultured organism. RNAcentral's name for it is "bacterial SSU rRNA". It matches the Rfam family "Bacterial small subunit ribosomal RNA", at positions 526 to 896 of the family's 1533-position model. The record is from RNAcentral.